CAGUAGCCACGGUAAUACGGAGGGGGCUAGCGUUGUUCGGAAUUACUGGGCGUAAAGCGCACGUAGGCGGCUUGGUAAGUUAGAGGUGAAAUCCCCGGGCUUAACCUGGGAACUGCAUUUGAAACUGGCAGGCUAGAGUCUUGUAGAGGGGGGUAGAAUUCCAGGUGUAGCGGUGAAAUGCGUAGAGAUCUGGAGGAAUACCGGUGGCGAAGGCGGCCCCCUGGACAAAGACUGACGCUCAGGUGCGAAAGCGUGGGGAGCAAACAGGAUUAGAUACCCCUGUAGUCCCUGUCUCUUAUAC
This 301-nucleotide ribosomal RNA is filed under the name uncultured bacterium. RNAcentral describes it as "partial 16S ribosomal RNA". It matches the Rfam family "Bacterial small subunit ribosomal RNA", at positions 509 to 807 of the family's 1533-position model. The record is from RNAcentral.